RNAcentral lists this ribosomal RNA (406 nucleotides) under uncultured bacterium. Its description in RNAcentral is "partial 16S ribosomal RNA". It matches the Rfam family "Bacterial small subunit ribosomal RNA", at positions 30 to 526 of the family's 1533-position model. The record is from RNAcentral.
AUUGAACGCUGGCGGCCUGCUUUACACAUGCAAGUCGGACGAGUCGCGAACGGGUGAGUAACGCAUCGGAACGUACCUAGUAAUGGGGGAUAACUGUCCGAAAGGACAGCUAAUACCGCAUAUUAUUCGAGCGGCCGAUGUCUGAUUAGCUGCUUGGCGGGGGAAAGGCCCACCAAGGCGACGAUCAGUCGCGGGUCUGAUAGAAUGAUCCGGUGAACGGGGACUUAGAGACGGCCCAAAGGCCUAGGGGCGGCAGCGGUGGGGAAUUUUGGAGAAUGGGAGCAAGGCUGAUACAGCCAUGCGGCGUGUCUGAAGAGGGGCUUCAGGUGGUAAAGGACUUUUGUCCGGGCAGCGGUACCUGAAGAAGAAGCACCGGCUAACUACGUGCCAGCAGCCGCGGUAAUUC